GUUUAUAUAGUUUAAUUAAAACCUUACACUUUCACUGUAAAAAAAAAAUAAAUAAUCAAUUUUUAUAAAUA
RNAcentral lists this transfer RNA (71 nucleotides) under Lymantria sinica. RNAcentral's name for it is "tRNA-Glu". The record is from RNAcentral. Lineage: Eukaryota; Metazoa; Arthropoda; Insecta; Lepidoptera; Erebidae.